Long non-coding RNA from Papaver somniferum (opium poppy), 739 nucleotides. RefSeq lists it as uncharacterized. The transcript has 3 exons. The record is from RefSeq and is a predicted model, not a curated record. Lineage: Eukaryota; Viridiplantae; Streptophyta; Magnoliopsida; Ranunculales; Papaveraceae.
UCUAAAACAAUCCUUACAGCUAACUCUAUGUCCCUUGUCAUACACUUAAAAAACGGUCUCCUCAUAUUUCAAAGAGAUUUUAAUCUUCUCCGGAAAAACACUCGAAGGAAAAAAAAAAGGGCUUCAUUUUUCUUCUUCGGCACAAAAUCAUCAGGUAGAGAUGGGAUUUAUUAUGGAGUUCGCUGAGAAUUUAGUACUGAGGUUAAUGGAAGAUCCACAAGAGAGGGAUCGUAAGUUCCGAGAACAUGUUUAUGCAGUUAAGGAUCAAUGUAAGAAGACCAAAGAAAUGUGGAGUUUACCUAUUCGUCCUUAUGGGUUUUGGACUUUCGAGCGUCAUAACUCACAAAUGGCUUGGGAUGCUCAGAUUAGUCAAGUUCCAGGACGAAGGGAUCCUUAUGAUGAUCUCCUUGAAGAUAAGACUACUAAACUUGGCAAAUCACCCUAAAUGGAGAAGAUGCGCUCUGGAUGUGCAGAAUGACAUGGAGCUAUAUGUAAUGGAAUGAGAAUGUCGAUUGUUUUUACUAGUUGUACACUGCGGAAUCAAAGUCGUGUUCUGUGUUGGGUGAAAGCCGAAGUUUCUUCACUGUUUAAAGUUUCAUUUGUUGCUAAUAAUAUUCUGAAGAACAUCUAUUGUACAAUGCUGUACUAGAACUCGAGACUGGAGUUUCUGUAAAACAGUGUUCUGUUGUCCUUGGUUUUCGACUCAAAUACCCAAAAUCAAAUUGUUGUGUUGAACGAU